GUGAAUCAUCGAAUCUUUGAACGCAUAUUGCACUCUCUGGUAAUCCGGGGAGUAUGCCUGUUUGAGGGUCAGUAAAUAAUAAUUAUCAUGAAUCUUUUGAUUUAUGGAAUUGGGCUUUUAUUUCGAUAGAUUUAUGGCCUUAAAUUUACGUUAUGGGCUUGUCAUAUAAAAUCCGAUCUAAAGGAGCAAUUAAACAUUCUCUCAUUAGCGCGGAUUUUUACAAGCUGUUAUGAUCUUUGGUUGCUUUCAGCAUUUUUACGAGUGCGAAACCAAGGUCGUAAGUUUACUCUAACAAUGACC
This 300-nucleotide unclassified non-coding RNA is filed under the name uncultured Entrophospora. RNAcentral describes it as "uncultured Claroideoglomus sequence contains 5.8S rRNA gene, ITS2". The stretch from base 1 to 71 matches the Rfam family "5.8S ribosomal RNA", at positions 84 to 154 of the family's 154-position model. The record is from RNAcentral. Lineage: Eukaryota; Fungi; Glomeromycota; Glomeromycetes; Entrophosporales; Entrophosporaceae.